AGGCAGAGGUGGACUCUGAACUUGGUGAACGCAAAGACGAGGAAGUUGAUCCAGAUACCACAACUUUCAACACAGAACAAAAAGACGCACACUAUAUAGAGAAGGUAGAGUAUGAAGAGAGAAGUGAAAUCAUACAAUUUCAAUUUGAUGAGCUACCUACAGCACAAAAGCAGUUUAUCGAGGACAUCAGACGCGGGAUUCAAUCCGACUUGGCGGAUCAAGUGAUAAAGGCAAUAUGUAACGUUGUGCUCAAGGAGAUGGGUUCAAACCAAGCAGACGAAAUACGUAAUUACAUCUCGAAAUGUUCACUGUUUUGCUGGACUGCCCGUUCGCACAACCCACCCAUAUACGUCGACUUCAUGGAGGUUACAGAAAACAUGCGUUUUGACAUGAGCGUAUACAAGCCGUACACAAAGGCAGGACCCCUCGUAGAUUACAUUGUCUGGCCUCCAAUUUAUCUACAUAAAGGUGGACCUAUGCUUUCCAAAGGUGUUGCACAAGGGAAGAAGACUUAAAUGGACAUUCAGAGACUUGUUUUUUAUAUAUUAGUCAGAAACCAUUUUGCACAUUGUAUUAUAUGUUUGAAAAGGGACCUAAUAAUGAAAUCUAACCAUAAGUUAAAUUGUAUUUUGUGCUCUUUCUAUCGAAAUAAAAUAACAAUUAAGAAUAUGUGUAAAAAUAUAGUAGAAAAUUACAUUCAUUCAUAUACCUGUGUUAUUCACAUGGAGUUUGAAGCAUACUUAAUACUACUAACAUCUCUUUCGUAAAUAUCAUACAGAGUAUUGUUAAAAAAAACUAACAAUCUACGACCAUUUUUCAGACAUGACAAAUUUAUCUACAUAAUUAUGUAAUUGAUAUAAAAAGCAUUUAAUUCAUUCCUUUGCAAAAACUCUUAAAUACCUUUACUUAAACUGUAUCUGUUGUCGUUACAUAAAAUUUCUGAGAACAUGAACAUGAUCCUGCGAAACUGCAAACAUUCUCAUUUCGGGUUGAUGAAGUGAUUCUGUUAACAACACUUUGUGAAAAAUGUAAGUGAGUAACGGUCCAAUUAUAACACUUAAACUAUUUUAUUUAAUAUAGUUUGUAAGUGAAAGCGAUGCCUGUCUAAAUCAUAAUCAGUUUAAAUUAAUAAGUUACU
Mya arenaria is the source of this 1138-nucleotide long non-coding RNA. RefSeq lists it as uncharacterized. The record is from RefSeq and is a predicted model, not a curated record. The transcript has 3 exons. NCBI's taxonomy places the organism in Eukaryota, Metazoa, Mollusca, Bivalvia, Myida, Myidae.